GCUGAAGCACCAGCUUGCUGGUGUGGAUGAGUGGCGAACGGGUGAGUAAUACGUGAGUAACCUGCCCUUGACUCUGGGAUAAGCCCGGGAAACUGGGUCUAAUACUGGAUGCUACAUGUCACCGCAUGGUGGUGUGUGGAAAGGGUUUACUGGUCUUGGAUGGGCUCACGGCCUAUCAGCUUGUUGGUGAGGUAAUGGCUCACCAAGGCGACGACGGGUAGCCGGCCUGAGAGGGUGACCGGCCACACUGGGACUGAGACACGGCCCAGACUCCUACGGGAGGCAGCAGUGGGGAAUAUUGCACAAUGGGCGAAAGCCUGAUGCAGCGACGCCGCGUGAGGGAUGACGGCCUUCGGGUUGUAAACCUCUUUCAGCAGGGAAGAAGCCACAAGUGACGGUACCUGCAGAAGAAGCGCCGGCUAACUACGUGCCAGCAGCCGCGGUAAUACGUAGGGCGCAAGCGUUGUCCGGAAUUAUUGGGCGUAAAGAGCUCGUAGGCGGUUUGUCGCGUCUGCUGUGAAAGCCCGGGGCUUAACCCCGGGUGUGCAGUGGGUACGGGCAGACUAGAGUGCAGUAGGGGAGACUGGAAUUCCUGGUGUAGCGGUGGAAUGCGCAGAUAUCAGGAGGAACACCGAUGGCGAAGGCAGGUCUCUGGGCUGUUACUGACGCUGAGGAGCGAAAGCAUGGGGAGCGAACAGGAUUAGAUACCCUGGUAGUCCAUGCCGUAAACGUUGGGCACUAGGUGUGGGGGACAUUCCACGUUUUCCGCGCCGUAGCUAACGCAUUAAGUGCCCCGCCUGGGGAGUACGGCCGCAAGGCUAAAACUCAAAGGAAUUGACGGGGGCCCGCACAAGCGGCGGAGCAUGCGGAUUAAUUCGAUGCAACGCGAAGAACCUUACCAAGGCUUGACAUAUACC
RNAcentral lists this ribosomal RNA (917 nucleotides) under Kocuria palustris. Its description in RNAcentral is "bacterial SSU rRNA". It matches the Rfam family "Bacterial small subunit ribosomal RNA", at positions 66 to 992 of the family's 1533-position model. Lineage: Bacteria; Bacillati; Actinomycetota; Actinomycetes; Micrococcales; Micrococcaceae. The record is from RNAcentral.